GAGUAUUUAGUACUCAAAAUAUAUUAGUGAGCAAUGAAACAUAUUAAAUAAUAGGGUCAUAUGGACUCGAACCAUAGACCUACUCGGUAAAACAAAUCAAACUUAUUAUUAUCAAAACGAUUUGAACUUCUUUAAAGACCUAACGUGCAUCUUUUUUGCAUUGGGCAAUAACUUACCAAGGCGAUGAUCAGUAGUUGGUCCGAGAGGACGAUCAGCCACACUAGGGCUGAGACACAACCCAAACAUCUACAGGAGGCAGUAGUGGAGGAUUUUCCGCAAUGGGUGAAAGCAUGAUGGAGCAAUGUCGCAUGGAGGUAGAAGGCAUACGGGUCAUGAACUUCUUUUCCAGGAGAAGAAGCAAUCACAGUAUUCAGGGAAUAAGGAUCGACUAACUCUUUGCUAGCAGUCGUGGUAAGACAGAUGAUGCAAGCAUUAUCUAAAAUGAUUGGGCGUAAAGCAUCCGUCGGUGGUUUUUUAAGUUCGCCGUCAAAUCCAAGGGAACAACCCUAGAGAGGGUCGGGGCAGAGAGAAUUUCCGGUAGAGCGGUGAAAUGCGUAGAGAUGGGAUAGAACAUCAACAACAAAAGCACUAUGCUGGGCCAACACUAACGCUGAGAGACGAAAGCUAGAGGAGCAAAUGAGAUUAGAUACCCCAAUAGUCCUAGCCAUAAAUGAAUGAUAUUAGGCGUUGUGCAUAUCGACCCGUGCAAUGUUGUAGCUAAUGUGUUAAGUAUCCCACAU
Non-coding RNA from Lupinus albus (white lupine), 740 nucleotides. Lineage: Eukaryota; Viridiplantae; Streptophyta; Magnoliopsida; Fabales; Fabaceae. The record is from the annotation of a GenBank genome assembly.